GAUGAACGCUAGCGGCAGGCCUAAUACAUGCAAGUCGGACGGGAUUCAGGAGCUUGCUUCUGAUGAGAGUGGCGCACGGGUGCGUAACACGUAUGUAACCUACCUUUAUCAGGGGGAUAGCCUCUCGAAAGAGAGAUUAAGCCCGCAUAAAAUCACAGCACAGCAUUGUGUAAUGAUCAAAUAUUUAUAGGAUAAAGAUGGGCAUGCGGAACAUUAGCUAGAUGGCGGGGUAACGGCCCACCAUGGCGACGAUGUUUAGGGGAUCUGAGAGGAUGGCCCCCCACAGUGGAAGUGAGACCGGGACCAGACCCAUAGGGGGGGAAGCGGAAAGGAAGAUGGGACAGGGGGGGGAGGCCGAACCCUCCCUGCCCGGGGGAAGAAAGCCGGCCUUCGGGUUUUAAACUUUUUUUUAUAGGGAAAUAACCCCAGAUACGUGUACUUGGUUAAAUGUAUUUAAAAAAAAAGGUUCGGCUAACCCCGUG
Molecule: ribosomal RNA, 482 nt
Filed under: uncultured bacterium
Lineage: Bacteria
Description: partial 16S ribosomal RNA
Rfam family: Bacterial small subunit ribosomal RNA
Source: RNAcentral